RNAcentral lists this ribosomal RNA (475 nucleotides) under uncultured organism. RNAcentral's name for it is "partial 16S ribosomal RNA". It matches the Rfam family "Bacterial small subunit ribosomal RNA", at positions 333 to 799 of the family's 1533-position model. The record is from RNAcentral.
ACACUCCUGCGGGAGGCAGCAGUGGGGAAUUUUGGACAAUGGGCGAAAGCCUGAUCCAGCAAUGCCGCGUGAGUGAAGAAGGCCUUCGGGUUGUAAAGCUCUUUUGUCAGGGAAGAAACGGUGAAAGCUAAUAUCUUUUGCUAAUGACGGUACCUGAAGAAUAAGCACCGGCUAACUACGUGCCAGCAGCCGCGGUAAUACGUAGGGUGCAAGCGUUAAUCGGAAUUACUGGGCGUAAAGCGUGCGCAGGCGGUUUUGCAAGUCUGAUGUGAAAUCCCCGGGCUCAACCUGGGAAUUGCAUUGGAGACUGCAAGGCUAGAAUCUGGCAGAGGGGGGUAGAAUUCCACGUGUAGCAGUGAAAUGCGUAGAUAUGUGGAGGAACACCGAUGGCGAAGGCAGCCCCCUGGGUCAAGAUUGACGCUCAUGCACGAAAGCGUGGGGAGCAAACAGGAUUAGAUACCCGUGUAGUCCCAUG